This 429-nucleotide ribosomal RNA is filed under the name Chloroflexota bacterium. RNAcentral describes it as "Chloroflexi bacterium partial 16S ribosomal RNA". It matches the Rfam family "Bacterial small subunit ribosomal RNA", at positions 355 to 776 of the family's 1533-position model. Lineage: Bacteria; Bacillati; Chloroflexota. The record is from RNAcentral.
UGGGGAAUAUUGCACAAUGGGCGCAAGCCUGAUGCAGCCAUGCCGCGUGUAUGAAGAAGGCCUUCAGGUUGUAAAGUACUUUCAGUCGGGAGGAAGGUGGUAAGGUUAAUAACCUUAUCAAUUGACGUUACCGACAGAAGAAGCACCGGCUAACUCCGUGCCAGCAGCCGCGGUAAUACGGAGGGUGCAAGCGUUAAUCGGAAUUACUGGGCGUAAAGCGCACGCAGGCGGUUGAUUGAGUCAGAUGUGAAAUCCCCGGGCUUAACCCGGGAAUUGCAUCUGAUACUGGUCAGCUAGAGUCUUGUAGAGGGGGGUAGAAUUCCAUGUGUAGCGGUGAAAUGCGUAGAGAUGUGGAGGAAUACCGGUGGCGAAGGCGGCCCCCUGGACAAAGACUGACGCUCAGGUGCGAAAGCGUGGGGAGCAAACAGG